Molecule: long non-coding RNA, 215 nt
Organism: Cinclus cinclus
Lineage: Eukaryota; Metazoa; Chordata; Aves; Passeriformes; Cinclidae
Exons: 3
Source: RefSeq, a predicted model, not a curated record
CACAUUCAGAUUCUGCCAUGACCUCUCCUCUCCUAUGAGAAUAGAAUUCUGCUGAAACCCUCCCCUGUAAAACCACAGAGGAAUGAGGAUUAAAGGUCUCACUGUGACUCUGCAUCCUUGGGUGGUGUCCUGGUUUGGAGCAAGUUUGGAAGGAAACUUCCAAAGGGGUCCCUCUAGAAAGCAGAUUCAAGCAGCUCUUCCCCAGACUGCUCAGG